This 177-nucleotide small RNA is filed under the name Tepidimonas ignava. RNAcentral's name for it is "6S / SsrS RNA". Lineage: Bacteria; Pseudomonadati; Pseudomonadota; Betaproteobacteria; Burkholderiales. The record is from RNAcentral.
GGCUGUCUGCCAUCCGCCGGGCUUUAUAUUCCUUGAACCAAUGCUCAUUGAGCGCGGGCUUGGUACAUCGCGCAGUGGGCGUGAGCGUCUCGCGUCAGACGAACCCGAAGCUGCGCUGCCCUCGCCCACCUGAACCCAGUGUUCAGGAUGCCGGCCUGGCGGUUUGGCAGACACCCU